CAGAGAGAGCUCAAGAACCACAGACCCCCGAGGGGCGGGUUCCUCUGCUGGGCAGUGAUAGCCAGCAGAGGGCGCACCAUCUGCUUUUCUGACCCAGGGCACCUCAGAGCAGGAAGGGCUUUGCUUGCUCUCAGAGGACUCAGGCCUCUGCUGGUGCCUGAGUACAGAGACGAGAGCUGCAUUUCCAGCAGGUUCUGCCACCCGCCCCAGGGGAGACCUUGGGAGCUUAGCAGCAACUUGGCAUCUCCUGAGUCGCCAGAGAGAAGCUGCCUUGUUGUACUGAGUGCUGAGGAGGGGGCGCCGGGUGGCUUCCCUGGUCAAGCUGGUCGCUGAGCUGUACAGGCCUUUGCAUUUUCUGGGCUGUUCCCGUGUGUCAUUCCACCCCUUCCCGGACAGUGUUUGAACAAGACGUAUUUUACUAAAGGACUUGUGGAUUGCGGGGUCCCACGACAUCACCUCAUAGAUGCAGUCGAUGGUUUGUUCCAGAUCCAGGCUUGUUUCCGGGAAGGAACCCUAACAGAAAUUCAGAAGCACGGGAGCUGCAUUCAAGUAGGACGUGGAUCCAUGAAAUGCUCGUCUCACGACCUUCUAGAAGAAGGAGCUGGGACCCAUGUUCCGAGUCCUGCUGGACCCAGAGACCAAGUCUAUGCAACCUCCAUCCGCCUCCAUCCUUUAUGAGACCUAAGACGUGAUGCAGCUCCAAUGGGAAAUAUCAGUUGUGUCUCUACCAAGGAUGCAGAAAAAGACAAGAUAUCAGCCAGGUGUCUGAAGAGCUGCACUAGGGUACCUACCUCCUUUUCGGAUAGACUGUAUUCCCUUUCCAUGUUUUAGCUGUACCUGUGACACAGGACACGAGAGAACGUGCUCAUGUGAACACAAGUGAAGGACACCGUGGGGACUUGCCACACAGGGUGUCCCACAUGCCUCCGGUGAUCCCCAAGAAGAACUUGAAGAACCAUCCCUUAUAACUUGAUGAAGACUCCUAAAAGCCCUGACUCAGAUGUAUUCAUCACUCAUCGAACAACUAUGGAUGGCUGGGGGCACAACUAGAUGGACAUACGUUACUCACAGAUCCCAGCACGUGGACUGUGUACAGGGCAUUUCUGCUGAAGCGCUAUGUCUGAUUUUCUGCAUACGGCCCCUUGCAUCACAAUGGUCUGUGGUACCGCUUCUGCACCUUGGCCCAAGACCUAACAGCAACAAAAAUAAGGUUCAUCUCCUAGCCAGAAUCAAGAAAGGAAGACACAGCAGCCACACUGUUCCCACAGAGGUGAGGUCUGGAAAGGAUCACCCAGGCCGGGAGACAUCUGUUUGGAGUGUGCAGUCAUCCUCCUCUCAUUAUUUCCUGAACCUCACGGAAAAACCUUAAGACCACACAGGAACAGGCUGCACAGCAGAAAUUGGACUGCAGCACAUCACAACGUGCUCCUUACCUCGCCUUGGAGGGUUCUUGCAGUGAUUGGUUUCUGCCUCGUGUAUCCCUCAGGCAGCCUCUUUGCUUCCAUCCCGUCCAGUCUUGGAUACAGAAAAAUAAUGGACUUCUAUAAGAGUUGCAACACCACGUCGUCUACUAGACAACUAACAGUGCAGGCGUCAUCCCUGGAAACACCCAAGUCAAAUGACCACACCUGUAUUUCAAGGUUGCAAAGACGAGGGCCAUGAAAUGGCACUACCACGUUGAUGGGUAUGAUUCAUUGUACGACACACUGCUUUCCUACAGAUGAUGACAAUUGACACCACCCCCGAGGAAUGUUAGCAUGGACAAAGUUUCCACACAGUCUGGUCACUACUUGAGAUCUGCAAAUGUUUAGAAACUUAAUUAUUUUAUUCUUUCUAAAACUUACCUUUUUUAUCUGUUAAUACUCUAUGCAUAUGUUGACUUUAAACUUUUCAAAAAGAUUAAAAACCAAAAAAUGAA
Long non-coding RNA from Felis catus (domestic cat), 1918 nucleotides. RefSeq lists it as uncharacterized. Lineage: Eukaryota; Metazoa; Chordata; Mammalia; Carnivora; Felidae. The transcript has 8 exons. The record is from RefSeq and is a predicted model, not a curated record.